Molecule: long non-coding RNA, 1534 nt
Organism: Cyprinus carpio carpio
Lineage: Eukaryota; Metazoa; Chordata; Actinopteri; Cypriniformes; Cyprinidae
Source: Ensembl
UCAAAAAGUUGUAUCUCGGCCAAAUAUUGUCAGAUCCUAACAAACCAUACAUCAAUGAAAAGAUUAUCAGUAAUGUGUAAUGCUAAACUAUGUCAAGAUUAACAGGUUUAUUGUGCUUUAUGAUCCAAUCAGCAUUGACAACAGACUCAAGUGGGUGCUUAAAUGAGUCUACUUCAAGGGUGUCCAAUCCUGCUCCUGGAGGGCCACUUUCCUGGCCCUGAAGGGCACUUUAGAGUGGGAAGGGCACUUUAGAGUGGGAACAGUCUUGACCAUCAUAUUGAAUGGUUGUUCCAAACCAAAGUGCGUAAAACUGGCCACCUCAAACAGCCCUUCGCAAUGAAGGAUUGUGAAGGGUACACUUGGUUCAGGUGUUCAGGAGCAGAACUGGACUCCCCUGAUCAACAAUGACUAGUGUUGUGUUUUAAUUGGAUUAAAGGUAAACUGUGUGAAAUAGUGUAGAAACAGGUAUAUAGCUGGAGGUGGAGAAGAAGUUCUUAUUAGUUUACUGCACUAAUCUCUUUCAGUGCAAAACCCAGGUCUGAAUAAGUCAGCCAAGGCUUUGGUAGCAAUGAUGAUAAUUUCACUCACACUGGUUUCUUUGCUCUGCUUUGGAUUUUCUUGGAAGAGAAGGGAUGAGAAGCUGAAGUCUCUGAACAUCUCAGCGAUUGUUCUGCCCCCCAGGGUGGUUGUGAGUAAGAAAGGCAGAGUCACCAUCAGUGUGGAAGGCAGGUUGGCAGAGAGAGUACAGACCACAUGGUUUCUCAAUGAUGUCCCCAUUACAGACACUGCAUACAGAGAGAAAAAAUAUGGUCCUUUUUGCUUGGCAGCCUAUACUCCUCACAGCUCUCAUGUGUCUUUGGUGUCGGAGAAAAGCUCUCUGCUGCCCUCUGCUGCUGCCUCAGGAUAUUACAAGCUGCACACUCAGAUGUUGCCAUGCUUGUUCUCCUGCUCCAUGAAGCAGCUGUUCUCCUCCGUCACAUUUAUAACAAACCUGUCCAUUCACAAGGGUGCAGUUUUCAAAUGCCACAUCUCGUAUAAGGGCAAAGACAAGCUUGUGGCCAAGAGAGUUUCCGACAAGUUUACUAUUCAAGCACCACCUGAAGUUUCAUUGAUCCAGUUCUCAGAGUCAAAUGAGGAAGGAGGCGUUGUGACCAUGAUGGCCCAGGCCUCUGGCUUUCAUCCGGACAUCACCACCUUCCGCUGGUUCUGUGAGGGCAGCGAGCUGAGCCCCGUGUCUGUCCCGCAGGUGCUGGCGGCCCCUCGGCCAGAUGCUGCAGGCUUCUUCUCUUCUUCUGCAGGCCCCCGCCGCAGAGCUGGAGCGAGGGGAGACCCAGGUUUUCACAUGACGUUUCAUGUCGGACCACAUGCCUGGCCAGAAUGCUACUUCUUGGAGUCGUUUGUACGUUUUAUAGAUUCCUCCAUGGCCACUAAGACAACUGGAAUGGUAGUGCUUCAGCAAAGAGGGACGAAGACUGCUGGGAACGUAGACUCGGUAGUGCAUCUGGUUAUCUGGAAGGUAAGUUUUCUGAUAUAA